GGCUAAGUAGCAUAAAGGUAAUGUAAGGAAUUGCAAAUUCUUUGAUAACGAUUCAAUUUCGUUCUUAGCUU
This 71-nucleotide transfer RNA is filed under the name Cryptomonas curvata. RNAcentral's name for it is "tRNA-Cys". It matches the Rfam family "tRNA". From Rfam's summary of the family: Transfer RNA (tRNA) molecules are approximately 80 nucleotides in length. Their secondary structure includes four short double-helical elements and three loops (D, anti-codon, and T loops). The record is from RNAcentral. Lineage: Eukaryota; Cryptophyceae; Cryptomonadales; Cryptomonadaceae.